This 391-nucleotide unclassified non-coding RNA is filed under the name soil metagenome. Its description in RNAcentral is "partial contains 5.8S ribosomal RNA, internal transcribed spacer 2, and large subunit ribosomal RNA". The stretch from base 1 to 122 matches the Rfam family "5.8S ribosomal RNA", at positions 35 to 154 of the family's 154-position model. The record is from RNAcentral.
GAUGAAGAACGUAGCGAAAUGCGAUACUUGGUGUGAAUUGCAGAAUCCCGUGAACCAUCGAGUCUUUGAACGCAAGUUGCGCCCGAAGCCACUAGGCCGAGGGCACGCCUGCCUGGGCGUCACACGCCGUUGCCCCCCCAUCUACUCCUUAGGGAUUGCGGGGGGGCGGAUGAUGGCCUCCUGUGCGCCUAGCCGCGCGGUUGGCAUAAAUACCAAGUCCUCGGCGACGCACGCCACGACAAUCGGUGGUUGCGAAACCUCGGUUGCCCGUCGUGUGCGUUCGUCGCGCAUCGAGGGCUCGAAAAAAUGCUCGGCUCCGGCUGGGCUUUCAACGCGACCCCAGGUCAGGCGGGGUUACCCGCUGAAUUUAAGCAUAUCAAUAAGCGGAGGA